Molecule: ribosomal RNA, 492 nt
Filed under: uncultured bacterium
Lineage: Bacteria
Description: partial 16S ribosomal RNA
Rfam family: Bacterial small subunit ribosomal RNA
Source: RNAcentral
AGUGAACGCUGGCGGUAGGCCUAACACAUGCAAGUCGAACGGCAGCACAGUAAGAGCUUGCUCUUACGGGUGGCGAGUGGCGGACGGGUGAGGAAUACAUCGGAAUCUACUUUUUCGUGGGGGAUAACGUAGGGAAACUUACGCUAAUACCGCAUACGACCUACGGGUGAAAGCAGGGGAUCUUCUGACCUUGCGCGAUUGAAUGAGCCGAUGUCGGAUUAGCUAGUUGGCGGGGUAAAGGCCCACCAAGGCGACGAUCCGUAGCUGGUCUGAGAGGAUGAUCAGCCAAACUGGAACUGAGACACGGUCCAGACUCCUACGGGAGGCAGCAGUGGGGAAUAUUGGACAAUGGGCGCAAGCCUGAUCCAGCCAUACCGCGUGGGUGAAGAAGGCCUUCGGGUUGUAAAGCCCUUUUGUUGGGAAAGAAAAGCAGCAGGUUAAUACCCCGCUGUUCUGACGGUACCCAAAGAAUAAGCACCGGCUAACUUCGUG